UACGUAGGGUGCAAGCGUUGUCCGGAAUUAUUGGGCGUAAAGGGCUCGUAGGCGGUCCAUCGCGUCGGGAGUGAAAAGCUGGGGCUCAACCCCAGUCCUGCUUUCGAUACGGGUGGACUAGAGGUAUGCAGGGGAGAACGGAAUUCCUGGUGUAGCGGUGAAAUGCGCAGAUAUCAGGAGGAACACCAAUUGCGAAGGCAGCUCGCUGGGACGUAACUGACGCUGAGACGCGAAAGCGUGGGGAGCAAACAGG
This 253-nucleotide ribosomal RNA is filed under the name uncultured bacterium. Its description in RNAcentral is "partial 16S ribosomal RNA". It matches the Rfam family "Bacterial small subunit ribosomal RNA", at positions 524 to 776 of the family's 1533-position model. The record is from RNAcentral.